AUGGCGGCGACGGCCGCGGCGGAGGCAGACGGCGGUGGCGCCGUCACCACGCGGCUAUUCGUGGGCGGGCUGGCGGAGGGCGUGUCCGCGGCCGACCUGGAGGCCGUGUUCGGCUCCAUCGGCCGCGUCGCCGGCGUCGAGUUCGUGCGCACCAGCGGCCGCAGCUUCGCCUACGUCGACUUCCAAUGCCCCUCCCACAAGGCCCUGGCCAAGCUCUUCUCCACCUACAAUGGGUGCAAAUGGAAAGGAGGGAAGCUGAAACUGGAGAAGGCCAAGGAGCACUACCUCGUUCGGCUGAAGCGAGAAUGGGAGCAGGAGGCGGCGGCGGCGGCAGCUGCUCAAGAAAUGCAUGCGGAAGAUAAUGUGGACAAGCAGGAGGAGAAGGAGAAGCGGAAGCUGGAGAAGGAUGCUCUGGAAAGUUCAAAGCUUAACAUCUACUUCCCGAGAUUGAGGAAGCUGAAACCUUUGCCUUUUAAAGGCAGUGGAAAGCACAAAUACAGUUUCAGAAAUAUUGAAGUCCCUUCCUACCCAAUUCAUUUCUGUGACUGCGAGGAGCACUGUGGACCUCCUGAGAAAGCUAAUGAAGAAUAUGCUGCUGUUCUUAAUCGUGUUGCAUAUGAGAAGGAGCGCAACAUCAUGAAUUCUGUGAUGAGUAAGCUCUUUGAGAAGGACACUGAGCAAAUCGAUUCAUCGGAACUGCAGAAACAAGGUGAUGUUGUUAACAUCAUGGAACCGUCUGAUGCUGAGACAGAACCCUCUAAUGCUGAGACAGAACCCUCUGAUACGGAGACAGAACCCUCUGAUUCCGACAAUGAUUUACCAAUGGAAGAAACAACAGAAACUCCUGAAGAAGAUUUGGAUGACCUCCAAAUGGAAGAAACAGACGAUCCUUCUGAAGAAGAAUUGGAUGAUGACCUUGUGAUCAACAUUGCUCCUCGCAAGGCCAACAACUCAGCUGCACAGUUAAAUAGGGCAAACCAAGCAGUGAAUAAGGACGAGCGGUUCAGAAAACGUCAGCAUUUUGAUGAGAUUUCUCCACAAAAGAAGAGACAGAAACCAGAGGAUUUAUCUGAACCUAGAAACCAGAAGCAGUCUACUUCAAUGAAUGCAGACAGGAGGACUACAGGGAGGUCUUUGCCAUCUGUGGCAGUAGCCAUCCAAAAUGAACAAAAAUCCUCUGUUUUGUCAGGAAAAGGAACACAUGGUUUCUCUUCCGUACUUGAUAGAGCUAAAAGUUCUGCUGGUCUUGAAGGUGUUGACGCUCUAACAGGUCGUUCUACCAAAAACGAAGGUUCACAAAAUGAGCUUCCUACUGCUGAACCUAAAAAGGGUUCUGUGUGGACUCAGAAGUCUGCCUGGAGAGAUCUUGUAGGAGGCAUGGGGGCUACAUCUUUCAGUAUAUCGCAGAUAUUGCCGAACAUCAGCCCAGCACCACCAAAACUUGAACCUGCUACUGAGACCUCUGUCGCAUGCACCGAAGCCAGGAGGGAAGUGACAUCAUUAGGUAUGACAUCUUUGGAAUCCCCGGCGGCUAUAACUCAGCCCUCGUCUGAGCAGAACUUACUGAGCUCCACGGGAACACCAUCCGCUGGAACAACAAUUGGUUCAGCUGGUCAUGAAACCCGAGGGCACGACGAGAGCAACAAGGUAGAAGAACCGUGUGUGGUCCCAAAGAUUACAAUCAGUGAAGUCUGCCCGUUCAUGAGAAACGAAGAGUCAGUUCAGCAAUGGUCGAAGGCAAAGAAGGUUCUAACCGGGUUCAGCAAGAGGGGCGACGAGAAGAAGGCCGGAUCCAGUAACUCCAGGAGAGGAAAGCCACAGUCACGGAGAGGAUAA
This 1836-nucleotide ribosomal RNA is filed under the name Triticum aestivum (bread wheat). RNAcentral describes it as "partial small subunit ribosomal RNA". The record is from RNAcentral. Lineage: Eukaryota; Viridiplantae; Streptophyta; Magnoliopsida; Poales; Poaceae.